RNAcentral lists this long non-coding RNA (2495 nucleotides) under Homo sapiens (human). RNAcentral's name for it is "HSALNT0394592". Lineage: Eukaryota; Metazoa; Chordata; Mammalia; Primates; Hominidae. The record is from RNAcentral.
UCAAGCAAUCCUCCCACCUCAGCUUCCCAAAGUGCUGGGAUUAUAGGCAUAAGCCACUGCACCCAGCAUAAAUAAUCUCUUAUUUGUUCAUCCAUGGUGUUGUCUUUAGUUUUUAAAAAUGGAUCCUUUUGUUAUUCUUUUAUAGCCCCAGAUUAAGAAUUUGUCCAAGUUUUGUAUAUUUUUUCAGUUAUUUCAAUAUCAAAGCCCAGCACAUCUUUAAAAUCACUUCUAUGUAUAGAUAUUAACCUUUUUGACAUUUGUGUUUUGGUAUUCCAUAUUUACUCAGUUCUCCUUUCACACCCUCCCUUUAGAAGAGGAGUAUGACCAUGGCAGGAUGGAGGGGUAGUGGCAGUAGGGGCCAUAGUAUGUUUUCUAUAUUUAUCCAGCAUAUUUAAAACAUGGUAUUCUAGCUUCAAGGGAGAACAUUGAACUCCCAUUUGGACAUGUUAAGUUGAAGAUGUCUGUUAGACACCCAAGAGAAUAUGUCAAGCAGAUAUCAUCUGCCCUUGUUUUUCCUUUUCCAAACUGGCUCUCCUUAGUUCCAUCUCCAGAUGACAUGGUCCUCAAACCCUUUGUGAUCUUGGUUCUCUACUCCAGUUCUUCAAUGUUUUUCUUGAAUGUGGCACCCAGAAUUAAAUAGAGCACCCCAGAUAAUGGCUGCCCAGCAGGAUAGACAUGUGUUUGUUAUAUAAUUCUUAGAGACUAUAGCUGACGUCACUGGUGCCCAGCCCAUAUCUUCUUGAGCCCUAGCAUUUUCGUGCAUGGUGGCCUGAUUUCUAACUGUCAGCACCUAAAUAUCUUUGCCUGAGGACUUUCUCUGUCGGCCAGAGCCUGCUUUGUGCACAGUCAGAAGUGCCAAGGAGUCAACACUCCCCAAAGGAGUCUUCAGCCAGUAACGAAAUGAAAGGUUUUGGUGUGAGGGAGUAACCUCCCUGAUCUCCCUGGUUCCUCUAGCAUCACAAGGCAGAAGCAGCAGCAUCUCUUCCAUCUGCUGUAGUGAGGAAAUAAAAGGUUAACUUCAGGUUUGGAAAUAAAGUGGAACCUGUUUCUGCAUCUUCAAAAUCUAUUUCUCUUGGGCCACAUAACGGUAUUGGACACUUGGUUAUAUGCAAUUAAUAAUGAACACAACAGCCAAAUGUUGACUAUGAUUGGUGCAUAUAAUUCAUUCAUUCAUUCAUCUAUUUGCCCAUUCAACAAGCAUUCACACUUUCCUACUAUGUCAGACAUUGCACUAUGUCCUAGGGAUUUAGAGACAAAAUGGAAAUAGUCUCUGUUAUCAAGGAGCUGCCAGAAUGGUAAAGAGAGGAGGGUAUGUAAACAAAUACAAUAUUACUGGAGUAGUGGUAGGGUGUGUGCAGAAAACAAUGGGGACACAAUGUGGCAGAUCUACCUGAGAAAAGUCAGGAAAGUCUUUGUGGUGAAGGUGACUCUUACAUUAAUGUAGAAAGGCAUGAAGACCAUCUAGACAAAGGAAUUCAAUGGGAGAGUGGACAUUAAGAUUUGGAGAGCAGAAGAGAAAUUGAUCCUGGUAAUACCAGCCUGGGAGUCAUUAGCUUUUAGGUAGUUGUGUUAAGCUGGGUGAGUGGUUAAGAUCUCCCAGCUGGCACCACAGGUAGCAUAAGAGGACCAGGGUAGAAGAGAGCUGGUGUGAAUUCUACCCAAUGAAGUUGACCAGGGAAGGGCCUGUUGGAACUGUGGGCCAGUCCUGGAGGCUGAGACCCUCACAGGAAGCUACCCUUAAUAGUUUAAGAAAACAGACAGAUCUGAGUCCUAAUAUAAGCUGUGUGGCCUUGACAGAUUGCUUAAACUUUGUCUCAGUUUCUAUACCCACAGAAUGAAAGUAUUAAUAGUACACACUGCAGGGUUAUUAGAAGAAUUAAAUGAGAUAAUGUUUAUAAAGGAGGGUCUGGUAUACAGAAAGCAAUCAUUGCAUAGUACCUAUUGUUAUCAUUUUAUUAUUAAAAUGAAUGUGAAAAUUGGGGAACGAAUUUUAACCCUUUAACUACCAGAUUGUAACAUCCAGAAAUAUUUAUUGAGCACCGGUGAUGUUCCAGGCAUGGUUUUUGGUGCUAGCAGGAGAGAAAACAAUACCUGUGGCCUAAAGAGCUCAACCUGACCUGAAGAACUCAAGGGAAUCUUGAACUUGAGUGGGGCAGAAAAUGCAGUUUCAUUUUCACUACACUUGCAAAAAUGUAGCAUUUUUCUUCAAUUAUGAAUUUAGGCAACAAACCACAAUAGUAUUAGCAGUGCCUGUGGCUUUGUUAUUAAUAAAAAUCAGUCUUGUCAUAUCACAUUAUAGUUCUUUUAUAGGUUUAGAAAUAUUUAUUGGAAAUAGCAUUACCUUAAAAGUAGAAAUUGGGAGGCCAGUUUUAGAUUCUCUUAUUUUAUGUAUUAACAAAUAAGCAUAUGUAAUCCUUGUAUCAUAAAUUUGAGAUUUCUUUUACAUUUUGAUAACCAUAUUUCAAUAUAGUUGGUUUCUUUUGUGAUACUAUGUG